GUGUUUGCUUUGGCAGCACACAUACUAAAAUUGGAAUGCUACAGAUAUCAGCAUGGCCCCUGUGCACGAAUGACACACAAAUUCAUGAAGCAUUCCAUAUUUUU
Sciurus vulgaris (Eurasian red squirrel) is the source of this 104-nucleotide small nuclear RNA. Lineage: Eukaryota; Metazoa; Chordata; Mammalia; Rodentia; Sciuridae. The record is from Ensembl.